This 74-nucleotide transfer RNA is filed under the name bacterium. RNAcentral's name for it is "tRNA-Met". It matches the Rfam family "tRNA". Rfam says of the family: Transfer RNA (tRNA) molecules are approximately 80 nucleotides in length. Their secondary structure includes four short double-helical elements and three loops (D, anti-codon, and T loops). The record is from RNAcentral.
GGUGGGGUAGCUCAGUUGGUUAGAGCAUGGGAUUCAUAAACCCAAGGUCGGAGGUUCGAUUCCUCUCUCCACCA